GGCUUGGCCGGCUGUUUUGAGAAGAGAAAAUAAGAGAGGAAAAACUUCAUUUUCUACUUCACUUUCUUGCUCAAAUCUUGAGUCUUAACCGCUAGUUUUGCAAUCUAUUCCAUACAAGUGCUCACUAAGGAGGUUUAAAGCUAUUGGUGGAGUUGUUUUGGAGGAGGAAGCACUAAGCUACCAAUUUUCUUGAGAUUUGAAGGGCUUGGACUUGAUCAAGGCAAUGAUCUAUGAUGGAUGGAACAUGAGCUGUGGUUGGGCUCGAGGCAAAGGAAGUGCGUGUGAUAAGUUAUUAGAGUGUCUGAAGGGUUAUCUCAUGUAUAAUUUGAAUUCGAUUCACUUGAUGAGUAUUUGAUGUAAUAUUUGAGGCUGAUAUUGUAAUUGUA
This is a non-coding RNA of Coffea arabica (coffee), 386 nucleotides long. Lineage: Eukaryota; Viridiplantae; Streptophyta; Magnoliopsida; Gentianales; Rubiaceae. The record is from RefSeq and is a predicted model, not a curated record.